Xiphias gladius (swordfish) is the source of this 2104-nucleotide long non-coding RNA. RefSeq lists it as uncharacterized. The transcript is spliced from 3 exons. The record is from RefSeq and is a predicted model, not a curated record. NCBI's taxonomy places the organism in Eukaryota, Metazoa, Chordata, Actinopteri, Istiophoriformes, Xiphiidae.
GGCCGAACCCCCCCGACAAAACGACGCUCUGCUUGUACAUGUUUACUUUGCAGCUGUGUCAACAACACGAGGAACAACACUAGAAAAAAUUAACUUAAGCUGGGGAAAAAAAAAAAUAGGUUCAUACAUAGCACUAGCAACAACAACAACAAUACUGCAACAUGUGGUGCCAGACACUUGAACGGAACAUGAAAGUUCAAGAGGCAAUAAAAUUCAAAGGGAUUUCCCCGAUGAACUUCAAACAGGAGUUUCCUCCAUCCACGGGCUCACAGGUGGGGGUGCCCAUUGAGAGGGACGAUGAAAAAAAUGAAUUAAUGUGAAGGGGUACCUAGGUCAGAAAGGUUUCUGAACCACUGGCUUAGGUUGAGAGACAAAACAGAUUCUGGAAAAUAGAGGAAACUGAACCGAGAGCCACAGAUGCCUUGUCUCUGCUGCACUGGGAAAUAAAUCCCAUGACAAGGUGUCCCAGAAGCGGCUCCUGGGAGCUCAGAGGCCCGCCCGUCGGCGAGCUGCCUCUUACAGCCGCUGGAUUUAUUCCCUGCCAUUAUUUCAGCCUGCAGGGCCAUUCAGGUGCUCCUCUUCCAAGGUCCUGGCAUUUAAAAAUGCUUUGUCAUGCCAACUGCAGCCAACUGGGGAUCGCUACAAAAUUGGCUCUGCUCUGAGGCAACGUGACAACUGUCGCCCAGGCUGAGAAACACAUAAACCUGCCUCUCUUUGUUUGCUUAGUAAAUUGUACUGUCCGAAAAAUAAUGCUGUGCAUGAUAUAUGCACAGCAUUAAUGAUAUAUCCACAGCAUUGUUUAGAAUUGGUUAUCAAACCGAGUUUCAUCUUUUCAUUUGAUUCACUUAACCUUCCCUGUUGUUUGCUGUUUCUUUCUGUUUCUCGUGUCUUUGAGGUGAGAUAUGUCUGUCAUCGCCAGGGAUUUAUUAUCUAACCUGCAAAAGUCAAUCGCUGCAUCUCUGCUUUCGGACAUUUUAAAUGCUGUCUAUAUCAUCUGUCAUAAUACAGAACAAAUCCAACGGGCAAGUAUGCAAAGUUUCUGUGCCUUGGACAACUCUGUCCAUCAAAUUUCAGGUACAGCAGUGGUGAAAAAAAAAACAACGCUCAGAUCCUUUACUUGAGUAAAAGGACAAAUACAUCAGUACAGAAAUACUCCAUUACAAGUAAAGGUCAAUAAUGAAUUCAAAAUCCUACUUAAGUAAAAGUAGAGAAGUAUUAUCAGCAAAAAGCACUUAUAGUGUCAAAACCGAAAGUACUCAUUCUGCAGUCAGGGGUCAUUAUACAGUCCAUGACGAUCAGACGCUUAAUACUGUUUUACUGCUGUAGCCACUGAAGGUGGUUUUUAGGAGUGUUUUGGCCACUUUAUAUACAGUUAGAUAGUUCAGUCCAGUGGUUCCCAACCUAGGGGUCAGGCCCCUUCAAAGGGUCACAAGAUAAAGCUAAAGGGUCGUGAGAUGAUUAAUGGGAGAGGAAAGGAAAAAACAAAGUUCUGGUACAGAAAUUUUUUUUAAUUUUUUUCUCGAAUCUUUGCUGUUCUUUUUGAAAUAUUGGAUCUUUUUCCCAUUUGAGCUAUGAACAGUUAUUUUUUCUGGAACUUGACAAGAAGACAACAGACAGUGUUUUUGUAAAGUGUCAAAAGCCAAAAAGGUUGGAAACCACUGGUUCAAUCCUUAACAACAAAUUGUAUUUAAUAAAAUUGUCGUAUGUGUUUUAUGUAAAAUCUUAAUUUGAAAAGUAACAAGUAACUGCAGCUGUCAAAUUAAAGUUGUGGAGUAAAAUUAAAAAAUAUUAAAAUAUUAUAAAUAAAUUAAAAUAUUUCCCUCUGAAAUGUGGAGGAAUUGCACCUGAGCACAUUACCACAGUGAAUGUACUUAGGUAUUUUCCAAUACUUAUGGAUAAAAUGAACUAAUCUGCUAAUGAUAACAGUUAAACAUAUUGGCUUGGCCACAAAAACUACUAAGUCUAUAUUAAAAUAUGCACUAUGCAACUUCUUGUACAUGAAAUUGUUGUAGAUUUCUGUUUGACUAUAAUCCCAUGUGUUCAGACCUAAAUCCUCUCCCUCCUCUUUAUAUAACUUUUUAAUGAAGCUGAUCAAUUCCAGGGC